AUUAACAACAAUCUAAUCAAAUAUAUUCCCACGAAUAAAAGUGAGCUAAACAUGUAUAUAUUUGGUGUUGAGUACGUAGCAUAGUAAUAAAAAAUGUAUGUUUAGGGGUGAUAGGCCUUUCAAACUUUUGGAUAACUUGUUGCACAUGAAAUGUAUUUAGUACAUAGACAAGCUUGAAAAGUUAAGCUUUUAAGCGUUUAUUAAGAGUAUUUUAAUAUUUUACUACAGAUUAAUCCCUAACUAUAAAGUGCAUUAAUAUUAAUUUUGUAUCUUUAUAAUUACUAAUGUGCUGAUGAAUUACAUAUUAUUUUAAUAAUGUUAAUAUGAGUAGUGUUGAAAUAAAUAUGUAUAAGGAACUCGGCAAAUUUACUGUUCAACUGUUUAUCAAAAACAUAGCUACAUGAGUUAAUAUGUAGUUUCUUCUGCUCAAUGAUAAUUAAAUAGCCGCAGUACCUUGACUGUGCAAAGGUAGCAUAAUCAGUUGGCUUUUAAUUAAAGUCUGGAAUGAAUGAAUGUAUGAAUAGUUGCUGUCUUAUAUGUACUUUUUUGAACUUAGUAAAUAAGUGAAAAUACUUAUAUUAAUAUAAAAGACGAGAAGACCCUAGAAACUUGGAUUGAUUUUUGUUGGGGCGACAAAAUUACAUUUAACUAAUUUUUGUUAACGAGACGUAAUAAUGGAAGAAUAAGUUACUCUAGGGAUAACAGCAUAAUUUUAAUAAUAGUUUGUGACCUCGAUGUUGGACUAGGUAUUGUAUUCUUAAGGCAAGAAUAUAGACUGCUCUGUUCGAGCAAAUACACCUACAU
This 804-nucleotide ribosomal RNA is filed under the name Helix salomonica. Its description in RNAcentral is "partial 16S ribosomal RNA". Lineage: Eukaryota; Metazoa; Mollusca; Gastropoda; Stylommatophora; Helicidae. The record is from RNAcentral.